UUUUUCCACAUCACUGAGUGCCUGGGGUCGUUUUUUCUCCCUCUGUAAUUAGGGCUUGUUCUUCAUCAUUAUCAUCAUCACCACUAGCCCGUUGACUUAGGUCUGCACAAGUUCUUCUAUUUUCCUGACUUUCUGCUCUCUUUUUUUUGGGGAGGAGUGGAGAGAUUUAAUAGGACAGAGUCAGGUAGAGAAAGGGAGUGAGGGCAGUGGGCUGAAGCGCUACAGGCUAUUAGGCUGACAUUUCUGCCGGACAGAUGGAACUGCUUAAAGACUAUCAUGCAAUGUUUUUUUUCGAAUCCCUCCCCUUUCCCGGCAAAUGUCUAUCUUUUAGCAAAGGAUCCACUAAAGCCAACCCCCCCCCCCACAAAAAUGGACACAGGGUGGUCACUUUUACUGACUGCCUUACUUGACACUGCUAAUAUAUUUUUUUUUUUAUCUAGACAAAGUCUGGACAUUAUGUGGAGGAAUUCAAGGCUGUGUGUAGCAAUGCUGUCCAGAAGACAUUUCACGCCUUUUAAAAUUGUAUUGAGGAUAACCAGGUCUUCAACUGGAGCCAACAGCUCUGAAUCCUCCUCAGCUUCCAAUCCACCAUCCAGGCGCCAGCUCCCACUGCCUGUCAGGCCCUCCUGGGCUCUCCUUACAACUCACUGCCAGGUACAGGACACUGCUCUCUCUUUCUGUGUGUGUGUUUGCAUACGUGUGUGUCUUUGUUCAUCCUUGCAUGUUUGUAUGUAUGUGUGUGUGUUUGAUUGUUUGUGUGUGUGGGUGUGUGUGUGUUUGAAUUUAUACGCUCGUGCUUUAAUUAUCCAUAUUCAGUCGUCACAAAAAUAGAGCAAUGAUGAAAUAAAUAAAGGUGUUUGGUCCUUUAAGAUAACCUGCCAUUCAACUGACAAGCUAGCCUGCGUCUUUGGCCACAUCUCUCCCUGUUAAGUUUCAUGUAUUCAUAAUGGAUGUCCUAGUCUCUCAAUAUGUUGAGCCCCAGGUGAGCGCAGCAGCAGUCAGAAACAAUUACCUUUGCAGUCUUUACUUCCUCCACCCAACCUCGUGGCCACACCAGAGAGAAGAAGAAGAAGAAGAGCAAAGACUCAUGGUCAGUCAGUCAGUCAUUUGCGGGGCUGUCACUCUGCAUCAGGCUCUGUUUCCGUGACGACAGGCGCUGAUGGGCGGCGUGGGUAACCCGCGGUGAUGGGAGGCCACUGUGAUAUGUAAAGCAGGGUGUCUGGACAAUGGCUGAGCUGUCAUCGGUGCAGCCAGGCUGAGCUGGGAGGAAUGCAACGGGGUCAACGAAAAUGUAUGCACAUUUGACAUUUCCAAACUCAUUUGCAUAUGUACACAUUGUUUUUUAAUUUUCUUUAAUUAUCCUUUUUUUGUUCAUCCCCUCUUCCAGUUUAGCGAAGUUAAAGUGCUCUUUGGUUGUUCGUUUUUCACCACCCAUUUGAUUUGGAGCUUGUGAGAGGUAGGUGGACUGACGUGUGACUGUCCCUCCUUUGAGCAAUCUCUCCAUGGCAAUACCAUCUCUCGACCAGGUUCCUCUUUUUGCCUACCCAGAAUCCCUUGCUCUUGGGUUCCCACCUGUCCCCAGAGCAUGGAGAGCAAGGCACAGCUGUGGACUGUGUUGGGAGAUACUACAGUAUAAGGACACUUCUGACUUGCAAAAAGACUAACCAAAAUCUAAAAGUGACCCUAUCACGAUGUCAUGACACCAGGGUUCUUCAUCACAAUGGCUGCUUGCCACAUCCCCUUGUGCUAUGAACAGUAGCAUCACCAUUUCAGAAUCUGACCAAACUGAUGUUUUAUGUUGACCUCCUGCUCUGUUUCCUCUGGAACAGCAUCGUAAUACAAUGAAAAAUAAUACACACAACUGUACAAUAUGCAUAGCUUAUAAGUGUAAUAAACUGCUUUAAUAUGGUUUCUGUAAUAUCAUGCACAGGUACAUGACCUUUGUUCCGCUCACAUUGGUGAUAGACUCAUGUCUUUAUGUUUGGUUCAGUUGUCUCUGUGACAUUUUGAGGCCGCAAUCUAAAGAAAUACCCAAAGUACUAGUUUGGAACUACAUGAAUUUGAUUCUGUUUGAAUUCAAAUAUAUGUACACUGUGUUCUUAUAUUCUUUGUUGCUGUAAAUAUUGAUUGAUAAUACUUAGCUAAAUGUACGGUAACUUUUUGACAUGACUUGUUCUUGCCUUGUUUGAAUUCAUCUAAAUCUAUAAAUAUUAUAUUAUUUAAUAGUAUGAAAAUGUAUGCACUCACUACUGUAAGUUGUUCUGAAUAAGAGUGUCUACUAAAUUACAAAAAAAGUAUUAGAUAAAAAAUAUAUAUAUAUAAACUAUGGAAUAAAUCCAUUACAUCCUUCACAAACUUUAUGAAGUAUACUUUGAUGUAAGGUGUUCUUUUUUACAGGCUGUAUACUUGUUCCGUAUGCUUUUAUUGCAUCCCGUUGGUGCCCCAUGUGUAUUCCUGUGCUACAGCAGUACUUUCAUCCCAAUACAUGGUAAUACAUAUAGACAUUUAUUGUUGUUUGUUUAAUUUGUACAAUAGUUUAACCUCCACUAUUAGUACUUAAAGUGAUCACAUUUCCGUCGGCCAAGAUGGUUAUGUUAUAGCUACUUUCCCAGCCAAGCUGUCAUGUGCUUGCUGAGGCACUUCUCAAGGUUCUGUCACCAUUUCUAUUUGUACGACCUACAACACAUCAGCAUUAUACAACACACAUACUAACACAAAACACGAACAACAGUGGCACAUUGGUGACAGAGAUUCGGCGUGUCUGGAGAGAGACUUGUUCACCCAGUGUUUGGCAGGCCCCAGCCUUGGCUGUCCCACACAAUCUGUGCUCAUGGUCUUGGCAGGUCUCCCUGACCCACCACCACCCUCCCCUCAUCCCCAGCCCCUUCCCCUAUCCCGAC
Long non-coding RNA from Salvelinus fontinalis (brook trout), 2900 nucleotides. RefSeq lists it as uncharacterized. The record is from RefSeq and is a predicted model, not a curated record. Lineage: Eukaryota; Metazoa; Chordata; Actinopteri; Salmoniformes; Salmonidae. The transcript has 3 exons.